GGAAUGCAGAAGAGCUCUCCAAGGCACAUAACACAGUCUCAACUCUAUUGGUGCUGAAAGCUGAUCUUGCACUGAGGAAAGUGACUUAACCUAGGGUGAUCCAGCUUUCCGGACCAAAAGGAAGCGAAAGUCAUCCUAAAAAAUCCACGUAAAUAUUUGCCACACUAUAAAUUGGAACUGGAAUGAAUCCACUUUGAAGCACACGAGUAACAUUAACCUGAUUGUCACAUACAUACUUCAAAUAUAUUUCAUUCAUUUGGAAUUUGUCCAAUUUCCUUGCUUCAAACAUCUUUUGUCAAAGUAAAUUUAUGCUGAGAACCAAUACCAAGAGCCUGACAACCCCCUACGCAAGUGUUCUAGGGAGGCAAGAGCGCUAAGACAGAAGGGGGCGUGAGCGAA
RNAcentral lists this long non-coding RNA (399 nucleotides) under Homo sapiens (human). RNAcentral describes it as "HSALNT0110965". The record is from RNAcentral. Lineage: Eukaryota; Metazoa; Chordata; Mammalia; Primates; Hominidae.